GUGAAGCAGGUCUGAUCGCCUGUGAAGGCCCGAACCCACUUAUGUUGAAAAAUGAGGGGAUGAGCUGUGGUUAGGGGUGAAAGACCAAUCAAACUCGGAGAUAGCUGGUUCUCCUCGAAAUAGCUUUAGGGUUAGCCUCAAAUGUUUGCCUAUGGAGGUAGAGCACUGAAUGGACUAAGGGCCCCACCAGGUUACUGAACCCAAUCAAACUCCGAAUGCCAUAGGUUUAUAGUUUGGGAGUCAGACUGCGGGGGAUAAGCUCCGUAGUCAAAAGGGAAACAGCCCAGACCAGCAGCUAAGGUCCCCAAGUGCAAGCUAAGUGUGAAAGGAAGUGGAAUUACCGAGACAGCCAGGAUGUUGGCUCAGAGGCAGCCAUCAUUUAAAAAGUGCGUAACAGCUUACUGGUCAAGUGAUUCUGCACCGAAAAAUGUACGGGGCUAAAGUUUGCCACCGAAGCUCUGGAUCCAGAAUUUAUUCUGGGUGGUAGAGGAGCGUUCCUUUAUGGGAUGAAGGGCAACCGUAAGGAUGCCUGGAC
This 535-nucleotide ribosomal RNA is filed under the name marine sediment metagenome. RNAcentral describes it as "LSU rRNA". It matches the Rfam family "Bacterial large subunit ribosomal RNA", at positions 745 to 1278 of the family's 2925-position model. The record is from RNAcentral.